UUGUUUGAUUUUUAUCCCUCUUACAUGUAGAUGGGUUAUAUUGGAAGUUCUUGACAAAGUUUACCUAGGAUCAGUAAACUGGAAGCAAGCAACAAAACCUCCCAUCAAGAUGCCUUUCAGAAAAGUUGAGAAUUGCAACCAAGCUAUACGGAUUGGAAAGGAAUUGAACUUCUCUCUUGUGAAUGUAGCAGGAAACGAUAUUGUAUAGGGAAACAAGAAACUCAUACUAGGAAGAGAACCUGUCAGCUAUGAAUACUGAUCCUUGGUAUUCUGCCUAUCACUAUUCUCAUCCUCCUUUGUUGAAAGACUUGCUGCAAUCGAUGAACUUGACAAGAAGGAAGACUGAAAACGAACACAGGCUACCUAAAGCCAGUGAAUGCACUUUCUAGUCCAUUUUAUACUCUUUUUAACUUGAGCAUUUUCAAGCUUUAGAAAUCGUUGGUUUUGAGUUUCGCCGUAUGAGUCCUGUUGAAAUUGACAUUUCUCUGUUCUGGUAUUAAAUUCCACACCCAACAAAGGUAAGGCUGAGUUAUGGGGAUUUUCUGAGUUAGGUAAAAAAAAUUACAAAAAUGAACAGGAAAUAGCUUAAUGUAACUGAGUUGCUUUAUGUAUUAUUCUUCUGCAUGCUUCAUGUCAG
This is a non-coding RNA of Camellia sinensis, 637 nucleotides long. NCBI's taxonomy places the organism in Eukaryota, Viridiplantae, Streptophyta, Magnoliopsida, Ericales, Theaceae. The record is from RefSeq and is a predicted model, not a curated record.